UCCAAGCGUUAUCCGGAUUUAUUGGGUUUAAAGGGUGCAUAGGCGGGACAGUAAGUCAGUGGUGAAAUCCUAUCGCUUAACGAUAGAAUUGCCAUUGAUACUGCUGACCUUGAGUACAAAUGAUGUGGGCGGAAUGUGCAGUGUAGCGGUGAAAUGCUUAGAUAUUGCACAGAACACCGAUAGCGAAGGCAGCUCACAAAACUGUAACUGACGCUGAGGCACGAAAGUAUGGGGAUCAAACAGG
Molecule: ribosomal RNA, 244 nt
Filed under: uncultured bacterium
Lineage: Bacteria
Description: partial 16S ribosomal RNA
Rfam family: Bacterial small subunit ribosomal RNA
Source: RNAcentral